RNAcentral lists this ribosomal RNA (310 nucleotides) under uncultured bacterium. RNAcentral describes it as "partial 16S ribosomal RNA". It matches the Rfam family "Bacterial small subunit ribosomal RNA", at positions 503 to 807 of the family's 1533-position model. The record is from RNAcentral.
AAGAGACAGCAGUAGCCGCGGUAAUACAGAGGGUGCGAGCGUUAAUCGGAUUUACUGGGCGUAAAGCGUGCGUAGGCGGCUUCUUAAGUCGGAUGUGAAAUCCCUGAGCUUAACUUAGGAAUUGCAUUCGAUACUGGGAAGCUAGAGUAUGGGAUAGGAUGGUAGAAUUCCAGGUGUAGCGGUGAAAUGCGUAGAGAUCUGGAGGAAUACCGAUGGCGAAGGCAGCCAUCUGGCCUAAUACUGACGCUGAGGUACGAAAGCAUGGGGAGCAAACAGGAUUAGAUACCCCGGUAGUCCCUGUCUCUUAUAC